Molecule: ribosomal RNA, 281 nt
Filed under: uncultured prokaryote
Description: partial 16S ribosomal RNA
Rfam family: Bacterial small subunit ribosomal RNA
Source: RNAcentral
UACGUAGGGGGCUAGCGUUAUCCGGAAUUACUGGGCGUAAAGGGUGCGUAGGCGGUCUUUCAAGCCAGAAGUGAAAGGCUACGGCUCAACCGUAGUAAGCCUUUGAAACUGGGAAACUUGAGUGCAGGAGAGGAGAGUGGAAUUCCUAGUGUAGCGGUGAAAUGCGUAGAUAUUAGGAGGAACACCAGUUGCGAAGGCGGCUCUCUGGACUGUAACUGACACUGAGGCACGAAAGCGUGGGGAGCAAACAGGAUUAGAUACCCCCGUAGUCCCUGAGCGGG